Molecule: RNA transcript, 8899 nt
Organism: Sander lucioperca (pikeperch)
Lineage: Eukaryota; Metazoa; Chordata; Actinopteri; Perciformes; Percidae
Gene: atp11b
Gene name: ATPase phospholipid transporting 11B (putative)
Exons: 32
Source: RefSeq, a predicted model, not a curated record
CAGCCAAUGUCUGCACAGAGCUGUGUGCUGGCAGGAGGAAACUAUCGUGGCAGCAGAGCAGCAGAUAUUAAGUGUAGCUCGCUGGGACUCCGUGGCCAGUGGUCUGUCACUUUUAACGGGGACCAUUUGUCUGUCCUUACCGCGAAAUGGGAAAGACUGGAUUUAUUUUUUUGCACAGUUGCACUGCAUGAAUGUGUCGCGUAAUGCGACCGAGAUGAGCUGCCUUUGGGAGGAAAUAUUCAUGGUUCGGGACUGUUUUGUUGGAGUAGCUUGUUGCUAGCUCUGUGCUAGCCACUGUGCUGGCUAACGUUACUUCGUAACGUAGCUAUUUGUUAAGGAUGCUACGGUGGAUACGACAACAGCUGGGCUUUGACCCCCCUCAUCAGAGUGACACCAGGACGGUUUAUGUAGCAAACCGUUUCCCCGAGCAUGGCCACUACAUACCGCAACGCUUUGCUGACAACAGAAUCAUCUCUUCCAAGUACACAAUUUGGAAUUUUGUCCCCAAGAAUCUGUUUGAGCAGUUCAGAAGGAUAGCCAACUUCUAUUUUCUUGUUAUCUUCCUUGUACAGUUAAUGAUAGACACCCCAACUUCCCCAGUCACCAGCGGCCUGCCUCUCUUCUUUGUGAUCACAGUGACUGCCAUAAAACAGGGCUACGAGGAUUGGCUAAGACACAAAGCGGACAACGAGGUGAAUGGAGCUCCAGUGUUUGUGGUUCGCAGUGGAAGUCUGGUGCAGACAAGAUCCAAGAACAUCAGGGUGGGGGACAUUGUUCGUGUGGCUAAAGAUGAGACGUUCCCAGCUGACCUGGCGUUGCUGUCGUCAGAUCGUGGAGAUGGCACCUGCCACAUUACCACAGCCAGCCUUGAUGGAGAGACCAACCUAAAGACUCACUACUCUGUGGCAGAGACAACAGUGUGUCAGUCGGUGUCCCAACUGGAGUCUCUGCAGGCUGUGGUGGAGUGUCAACAACCGGAAGCCGACCUGUACAGGUUCGUUGGUCGGAUUACAGUGACUCAGCAUGGAGAGGAGAUAGUCAGACCGCUGGGUCCAGAAAAUUUGCUGCUGCGAGGAGCCAGGUUGAAAAAUACCAAAGAGAUUUUUGGUGUGGCUGUUUACACAGGAAUGGAGUCCAAGAUGGCCCUCAACUAUAAGUGCAAGUCCCAGAAACGCUCUGCAGUAGAGAAGUCCAUGAACACCUUCCUAAUCAUCUACCUGGGCAUCUUGCUGUUUGAGGCCAUCCUCAGCACUAUCUUGAAGUAUGCCUGGCAAGCUGAGGACAAAUGGGACGAGCCUUUCUACAACCAAAAGACUGAACAGGAGAGAAACAGCAGUCCGAUCUUGAAGUUCAUCUCAGACUUCUUGGCAUUUCUGGUCCUCUACAACUUCAUCAUCCCCAUCUCGCUCUACGUUACUGUGGAGAUGCAAAAGUUCCUGGGCUCCUUUUUCAUUGGCUGGGAUUUGGACCUUUACCACGAGGAGAGCGACCAGAAAGCUCAGGUCAACACCUCUGACCUCAAUGAGGAGCUGGGGCAGGUGGAGUAUGUGUUUACAGAUAAGACGGGGACGCUAACAGAAAACGAGAUGCACUUCCGUGAGUGUUCAAUUAACGGAACCAAGUACCGCGAAGUCAACGGUAAACUGGUACCAGAAGGAAUGACUGACGACUCACCAGAUGGUUCUACGCCUCACCUGCUCGGUGAGGAAUUGUUAUUUCUCAAGGCAGUGUCAUUGUGUCACACGGUUCAGAUCAGCUACGACCAGCCAGACUGCCCGGUUGGAGGAGGAGACCCAUUUUCCCAUGCAAACGGUUUCUCUUCCAAUCACAUGGAAUACUACGCCUCUUCACCGGACGAGAAAGCUUUAGUAGAGGCCACAAAGAGGAUCGGAGUGGCCUUCACUCGCAGCAGUGGAGAUACCAUGGAGAUCAAAACAUUUGGCAAAUCAGAGAAAUACAAACUCCUCCAUGUGUUAGAGUUUGAUUCUGACCGCAGGAGGAUGAGUGUCAUACUGCAGACUCCCUCAGGAGGCCAAGUGCUAUUCACCAAGGGUGCAGAGUCGGCCAUCUUGCCUUUCACUACCAGUGGAGAGAUAGAAAAGACAAGACUGCAUGUUGACGAAUUUGCCUUGAAAGGUCUGCGAACCUUGGUUGUAGCGUGUCGCCACUUCAGCCCAGAGGAGUACAUUGAUGUGGACAGGCAUCUGAACGCUGCUCGCACUGCGCUGCAGCAGAGGGAGGAGAGGCUGCAGGAGGCCUUCAGCUACAUCGAGAGAGACCUGCAUCUGCUGGGAGCAACGGGGGUUGAGGACAAGCUCCAAGACAAAGUCCAGGAGACUAUUGAGGCUCUGCGGCUGGCAGGGAUCAAAGUAUGGGUGCUGACAGGGGACAAACAUGAGACAGCGGUCAGCGUCAGCCUGUCCUGUGGCCACUUCCACAGGACCAUGAAUAUCCUGGAGCUUCUGCAACAACGUUCUGAUAACGAGUGUGCUGAGCAGCUCCGCAGAUUGGCCAGGAGGAUAAAAGAGGACCAUGUUAUACAGCACGGGUUAGUUGUGGAUGGGGCCAGUCUGUCCCUAGCGUUGAGGGAACAUGAGAAGCUCUUUAUGGAAGUGUGUAAAAACUGCUCAGCUGUGCUGUGCUGCCGCAUGGCCCCGCUGCAGAAAGCUAAGGUGGUGCGUCUUUUUAAAACCUCCCCAGAGAAACCCAUCACACUGGCUAUUGGGGAUGGAGCCAAUGAUGUCAGUAUGAUACAGGAAGCUCACGUGGGCAUAGGUAUCAUGGGAAAGGAGGGUCGUCAGGCCGUGAGAAACAGUGACUAUGCAAUUGCCAGAUUUAAGUUUCUGGCUAAACUUCUGCUGGUCCACGGUCACUUCUACUACAUUCGAAUAGCUACGCUUGUACAGUACUUUUUCUACAAGAAUGUGUGUUUUAUCACGCCGCAGUUUUUAUACCAGUUCUUCUGUCUGUUUUCACAACAAACUCUGUACGACAGUGUUUAUCUGACACUGUACAACAUCUGCUUCACCUCACUGCCCAUCCUGGUGUACAGUCUGUUUGAACAGCUGGUCCAUCCACACGUACUGCAGAAUAAACCUGGCCUGUACAGGGACAUCAGCAAGAACUCCCUGCUGUCUUUCCGGACGUUCCUGUACUGGACUCUGUUGGGCUUCUGUCACGCCUUCAUCUUCUUCUUCGGAUCCUACAUACUGAUGGGAGAGGACACCACACUUAUGGGCAAUGGACAGAUCUUGCGAGCUAACAGGCAGCUGAUGUUUGGGAACUGGACAUUUGGAACGCUGGUCUUUACUGUCAUGGUCAUCACAGUCACAUUAAAGCUUGCUUUAGAGACUCAUUUCUGGACUUGGAUGAACCAUUUUGUGACGUGGGGUUCGAUUGCCUUCUACUUCAUUUUCUCCCUCUUCUAUGGAGGCAUCAUCUGGCCAUUCCUCCACACCCAGGACAUGUACUUUGUAUUUGUACACCUGCUGUCCAGCGGUUCAGCCUGGUUUGCCAUCAUCAUCAUCGUCAUAACUUGCCUUUUUCCUGAUGUGGUUAAAAAGAUCUUCUAUCGACAUCUGCAGCCCACCGGCACACAGAAGAGCCAGAUGGAAGAGGGUGAGGGUUCAGUCGGCCCAGAAUAUGACCCUGUUAAAGCCCAGCGGAGCCCAGGGGAGGACAAUUGGCACCUGCUAGCUGCUUAUCCUCCCCCUGCUGCCCCCAGCCCAGACCCCUGCUCCCCUAGUCUCUAUCAGCCCCCCAGGCGCAGGCCCUCAGCUGUGUGGAGUCCCUGUGCUGCUACCAACAUGGGCAGAGCGGCUGUUCCCGCCUGGCCAGCCUCCUGGAGCAAAUGACCGGGCAGUGCCAGGCCAGCACCAACCAUUGCCACGCAUCCAGCCGCAGCAACAGGUCUUGGAGCGACACGGAGAACUCUUAUUCCAACGAUCGAAGCAUCCUGACGCUUUCACCCAUCGAGGCCACCCACUGCUGACUCCCAGGGCCGCUGACUCUAACACGCAGAGCUGGGGGAGAGCUUCCACUCCGCAUAAUCACCCCAACCCCCUGCUACCAUUUUAGAAACCUACUUCAGUUUAAGCUCAGUGCAUUCUCAGCUGGAUGCAACGCUGACGCAUCAUGUGAAACCAAAGGAUUCGGCUCGGUGCAAGCAGGCUGCUUCAUCCUUCACCAAUUAGUUUUACCCGAGUGAAUGCAUUUCUAGUAGAAAGUUUACGAGAGACAUCAGAUAAGAGCUGCAACAUGAAAGUAAAUAAAACAUGAAGUGUGGAGCAAGUCAGCAUGGCAUGAAGCCAACAUCUGUGGAGCUACUCCUGUAGGAAGAUCCAGUCAGCAUCUGAGCAGCAACAAUUAUCAGAGACCUGCUGCUUACUCAGUCUCUGAGUCCUGCAGAAGUAUCUGAAAAUAUCAUAUUCAAAUUCAGGACCUUUUUUUUUUUUUUUUUCCAGUUGAAGACGUGUCAGCUCAAAGGUGCUGCCCUCUGAGAUCAGCCCUGUUACAUGAACUCUCAUGCAGCUAUUUAUUUUUCAUUUUCAGCACAGUUGCCAAACUUAGUUUUUCUUGCAACUGGCAUUAAAAAUGACUUUGUAAGUCUUACAUGUUUGUAGGCACAGAAUGAGGAUUCCUGACGAUCGGAACUUUCUGCUAGCUAAUGUCAGGCAGCAGCUGCUCAAAGCAUUGCAGCCUGAGGGCUGUAACGUAACCGAGGUGGUUCGGACAUGCCAUUGACCUCAACGCAGGACUGAGGUGGCUUAUAGACACCAGUCAAUAGGAUCGACCAUGUAGCACCAGGACAGAAGCUCCGCAAAGUCACACUUCAUUAGGAGUACAUCUCAGAGGUGUCGCUGUUGCUUCCACAAACUUCCUCUCUGAGCUGUCGGCCCCGCUGCACCUUCUUUUUCAUUCACACAGAAAGGGAAAAAGCUAACUACCUGUAGCUUUCAGAGCCUUGCUGGUUCUGUUAACGUCUAGACUUGUUUCCUUAGGAACUACAGUACUCCGUAAGAUGCUGUACAAAGAGAUUCAUCUCUAACAUGGAACCAAAGACCAAAGGAUUCAGACUGGAGUGUUUAUUUUUGUGCCUGAUUGUACAGAAGCUUAUAUCGUUGUUAAGAAGACUAUUAUUAUUGUUCGUGCUGCUUUCUUCGUCUGACUUUUCAGGCCUGCGUCUCCCCAGGUGCGUUGCUCUGAAGGAGACCGGAUGGGGUUUGUUUAAAAAGCCAUACAUUGUCAAGAGGAUAUAACUUUUGAUAGAUUAUUGAAGGUACUGCAGAUAGAAGCUGUUUGAGCCUGUUGUUGUUACUUUGUGUUUGGAAACGUGUUCCCCUUGAAUGCCUUUUCUCAUUCGGCCCGAUUAGCAAAGGGAUCUCUGCAUUAAAGACCAUGACGCUCAGGGAAUAUUUUGAGGUAACAGGAUCAGUGUCGAAGGCUGACUUAAUGAGGUUAUAUAGGUAGAAUCAUCCCACUCAGUUGCCUAAAAAUAUUACCCGAGUAUUGGAUCAGAUAAUGGUACUAUUUUUAUUUCACAAAAAUGGCUUAAAUGGCGAGAGGCUUUUUACAAAUCACGGCUGAUGCAUGUUGACCCAGACAGCAGAAUGUCUCUAUUUUUAGACGGAUAGAUGUAUCAGAUAAAUAUAAUUCAGCUUCUACAGAGAUGGAAAGAAAAGCAGAGCGUUUGCACAAGUCACAUAUCAAAAUCACAUUUUGUUGUGUCUCAUUUGUCACCAUUGUAAUCAUCUGAAUCAUGUUUUUGCUGUUUCGUUCUAUCCACCUGUUGAUGAAGUGUGUGUGUGUGUGUGUGUGUGUGUGUGUGUGUGUGUGUGUGUGUGUGUGUGUGUGUGUGUGUGUGUGUGUGUGUGUGUGUCAGCCAUGUUGGUACGUGUAAGUACGGUACGUAGCCACGUUGUAAGCUGUUUAUACGAUCACUGUGGCCACAUGCUGCCCGCAGGUCAAAUGUUUCUCUUUGAUGCUUGGUUUGACCCCUCUUCUUCCAAAAAAAAAAAAAAAAGGUGAAAUGAGGAAAAGUUUGAAGAUUUUUAUUUGUAGGAGAAUUCAUUUUGACUCCAGAAGUGUAGAAACGUUUCAAGACAACCGUUUUAAACUUGACAUCAACAACAACCACACCACGAUGACCAGUACAUGCCUCAGCUCACACAGGGAACGUACAGAGUCAUAGGAAGUUUAUGUUGCUGCGCUUACUGUUUAGAAAAACCUGAGAGUCAAUAAUGUUUUUGUCAGUCAAUUUAUUGAAUAUUCUUGAUGUUUAUUUUCUAUAUGGUACACGUUGUUUGAUGCAUAGCUGGGCCUGUUAUAUCCUUUCUGUUUAUACAGGUGCAACUGGCAAUGAAAGUGUCUAUUUAUUACUGCGGUACUUUUUUCUGUUUGAACUUUUCUUACAUAUCAAUAUAACGUGUGUCCUGUACAUGGCCUGAAUGCAGCAACUUCCCACAAUGUUUUACUCGAUCUGAGACAUGUAAUCAGGAGGUUGGACCUCUAUCUAAGCUCUGUUUUGUUGUUUGUUUUUUGACCUGAAAGAUGACAGUGCAGUUUGGAGCUGCCAGCCUGAAAUAAACAGGAUGUUUGUAAUCGUAAAGGACAUUUAAAAUAGCAAAGGACACCUUAAAACUUCCAGUUAGAUCACUCCAUCCUACAACCCAGCAAAUAAUGACACAGGAAAUUACCUUAAUCAUUUGAGUUCAUAUCUGCUAUCAAAAUGUCUACCUGGAUACACCUAUACCUGUAAUUUGGACCUGGAUUUAGGAAAAAUACAUGUUAAAAAUACUGUUUAAAAGGGGGCACUUCACUAGCUUUACUCAGUCACUUUACUUAUCCGAGAGCAGUACUCACCUGUGGAAAUAAUGUCCUCUGUGGCUCUAACCCUAAGCUUUCCGAAGUCUUAGAAGUCAGACAAAUGAGUACUUGAGAGUACUUGAGGCUUCAAAUAAUUGACAGAAAACCGUCAUUAUAAACUAGGUGCAUGGAGUUUGAGAGAUGAGGGCAUGUGGAGUGGCUGUUAGGAUUCUAUUGAGAUGCUUUAUGGGAAUUUUAGGAUCCAGUGUUUCUUUAGAUUGAUUCAUGCCUUACUUAACCUCUGGAAAACCUGGCUCCUGCUACAUUUAUUUGGACGAAUACUUUUGUAUUUAAGUACAAUACUAAGUCCAUGAGUACCCCUUAAAUACCUUGAAAAAAAUGUAAAAUAUGAUGCAGCAGAGGCAUUGAUAUCCUGACUUAAACACUGGAUCCUGCAACAUUUGUAAGGCCCUCCCAGCCGGGUAAAUGCCAACAUAUUUCCAACUCGCUUUCUGUUAAAAAUUUGAAGUGUUAAGCCUGAGCUGGGAUAAUCCUGCUGAUAACAUCAGUGUUUUUUUGUUUUGUUUUUUUACAGUAGAUAGCUUCUCCAGAGCCACAGAAGAAGUCAUCAUACAUUUAUUUCACAGUGCAAUUCCACUGAAGGUCAGUAGAUAACAUUAAAUCCUCACCCAGCCCAAAAGGUUUGACGUGCCAGGGUAAGAAAACUAAACUCCUCUUUGGAAUCAGCAAUAAACUCCAGAGGAGGGGAUAGAGUCCUUCCUGGCCAAAGGCAGAAACACCUGCAGUGUUAGUGCACUUCUAAAGCCCCGUUUUGCUCACCUACGGAAUCCGAAGUGUUCAAAAUUAAGACAUUAUGACAAAGAUAAUCCUAAAUAAAUAGAAACAAUGUUUAGGUGUGUCCUAUUAACAGGGAUAUACAAAUACGCAACAAGUAGUAGUUACAUGAUUAAAAAAAAACAAUGCUUCCACCAAGACUUAAAAAAAUAAAACAAAAACCAAUAGGGUUAUUUCACAAUUUCUUUGUUAUAUAUUUAUAAUUUUGAACUCUGGGUUUCUAUAUUUACAUGUCUUAUGUAAUUGCAUUUUUAUCCAGACUUUUUUUUUUUAUAUGUGAAAUGUAGGCCCCAGAGUGAUAUCUUUUCUGAUGUUUACGCAGAAAAAAAAAGCUAUAUAUUUUUUUAAGAUCAGAUGUGACAUAAGUAACGAUCAAGACCUGAUUUUCCAAAGCAUCCCAACACUGACGUCGUCUAAGCUUCAUUACAAGAGAGCUGCACGGUUUGGAUUUAAGUCUUCUGGGAUAAUUGUAGAAGGAGGAGAUUACUCAGCCACAUAAUUCAAAAAAUUGUCAUUUAAUAUUUUAUCAAGGCUCGAGUACAGAUGAUGAUCACCUCAUCCUUUAGAAGCACCAUCCGAGUUUAAUUGGAUAACUUACUAAGAGCUGUUAAAUUAUGUCUAGAGAUGUGGUUUUAACCCAAGUACUACUGCUUCAGGCAAUAUUGGCCAUUAACUGAAUGUGUAAAGACCAAAUAAAAACUGGAAAUCGGUCACUGUUUUCUGUCAGUAACCACAUCAUCCAGAGACCAGAUCCUGAACAAUUCAAUUGCCAUAUGUAUGGUUAUUGUUACCAUAAAUUACACUUAGGAACAAACACAAUUUUGUAGAAAAGAAAGCAUUUAGAAAUGCUGUCAGUGCAGAGAUGCUCUUGGAAAACCAAGUUUGCAGACCUCAAUCAAAUUAGGGUUUCCUUGAUCUAAUCAGCUAAAAAGAGGAAUCUAAAUUAAAAUGUCAACCGAUCAGUUUUCUGCCGCAGAAUAUCCUUUGACUCAGUAUCAGGCGGUACGAUUUGAGGCUGCAGAUCAAUGCUGAAUGGUUUAUUGAAAGCAUUUUUAUUCUCUCCUUUCCUCAGUAACUCAUGCUGCACCAGACUAUCAAUAAACCACUAUCAUCACUCUUUUGUUGACUGAUAUCUGUUGCUGUACUCUCUGUCCCUCCUCCUCCUGUCUGUAAAUCUGUCUUAUAGCUGAUGUUUAUGAAGAUGCCGUUCUAUUUACGAAAUAAAUACAUUUUUAAGAAA